Molecule: ribosomal RNA, 119 nt
Organism: Rhinopithecus bieti (black snub-nosed monkey)
Lineage: Eukaryota; Metazoa; Chordata; Mammalia; Primates; Cercopithecidae
Source: Ensembl
AUCUAUGGCCAUACCACCCUGAACGUGCCUGAUCUUGGCUGAUCUCAGAAGCUAAGCAGCGUUGGGCCUGGUUAUUACUUGGAUGGGAGACCCCCUGGGAAUACUGGGUGCAGUAGGCU